RNAcentral lists this ribosomal RNA (572 nucleotides) under bacterium. RNAcentral's name for it is "bacterial SSU rRNA". It matches the Rfam family "Bacterial small subunit ribosomal RNA", at positions 157 to 724 of the family's 1533-position model. The record is from RNAcentral.
CGGUAGCUAAUACCGCAUAACGUCGCAAGACCAAAGAGGGGGACCUUAGGGCCUCUUGCCAUCGGAUGUGCCCAGAUGGGAUUAGCUAGUAGGUGGGGUAACGGCUCACCUAGGCGACGAUCCCUAGCUGGUCUGAGAGGAUGACCAGCCACACUGGAACUGAGACACGGUCCAGACUCCUACGGGAGGCAGCAGUGGGGAAUAUUGCACAAUGGGCGCAAGCCUGAUGCAGCCAUGCCGCGUGUAUGAAGAAGGCCUUCGGGUUGUAAAGUACUUUCAGCGGGGAGGAAGGGAGUAAAGUUAAUACCUUUGCUCAUUGACGUUACCCGCAGAAGAAGCACCGGCUAACUCCGUGCCAGCAGCCGCGGUAAUACGGAGGGUGCAAGCGUUAAUCGGAAUUACUGGGCGUAAAGCGCACGCAGGCGGUUUGUUAAGUCAGAUGUGAAAUCCCCGGGCUCAACCUGGGAACUGCAUCUGAUACUGGCAAGCUUGAGUCUCGUAGAGGGGGGUAGAAUUCCAGGUGUAGCGGUGAAAUGCGUAGAGAUCUGGAGGAAUACCGGUGGCGAAGGCGG